AGUGGCGAAAGGGUGAGGAACGCGUGAGUAACUUGCCUCCAAGUUGGGAAUAACUCCGGGAAACUGGUGCUAAUACCGAAUGUGGCCCGUCAACGCAUGUUGGCGACGCUAAAGAUUUAUCGCUUGGAGAUAGGCUCGCGUACCAUUAGCUAGUUGGUGAGGUAAUGGCUUACCAAGGCUCUGAUGGUUAGCUGGUCUGAGAGGAUGACCAGCCACACUGGGACUGAGACACUGCCCAGACUCCUACGGGAGGCUGCAGUCGAGAAUUUUGGGCAAUGAGCGAAAGCUUGACCCAGCAAUGCCGCGUGUAGGAUGAAGGCCUUCGGGUUGUAAACUACUGUCACCGGGGACGAAUAUUUGACGGUACCCGGAGAGGAAGCCACGGCUAACUACGUGCCAGCAGCCGCGGUAAUACGUAGGUGGCGAGCGUUGUUCGGAUUUAUUGGGCGUAAAGGGUCCGCAGGGGGCCCGUUAAGUUAGAUGUGAAAUCCCGGGGCUCAACCCCGGAACUGCAUUUAAAACUGGCGGGCUAGAGUGCUGGAGAGGUAAAUGGAAUUCCAGGUGUAGCGGUGGAAUGCGUAGAUAUCUGGAAGAACACCGAAAGCGAAGGCAGUUUACUGGACAGCAACUGACCCUCAGGGACGAAAGCGUGGG
This 654-nucleotide ribosomal RNA is filed under the name uncultured bacterium. Its description in RNAcentral is "bacterial SSU rRNA". It matches the Rfam family "Bacterial small subunit ribosomal RNA", at positions 94 to 765 of the family's 1533-position model. The record is from RNAcentral.